UGGGGAAUAUUGCACAAUGGAGGGAACUCUGAUGCAGCGACGCCGCGUGAACGAAGAAGGCUUUCGAGUCGUAAAGUUCUUUUAUAUGGGAAGAUAAUGACGGUACCAUAAGAAAAAGCCCCGGCUAACUACGUGCCAGCAGCCGCGGUAAUACGUAGGGGGCUAGCGUUGUCCGGAAUCACUGGGCGUAAAGGGUUCGCAGGCGGAAAUGCAAGUCAGGUGUAAAAGGCAGUAGCUUAACUACUGUAAGCAUUUGAAACUGCAUAUCUUGAGAAGAGUAGAGGUAAGUGGAAUUUUUAGUGUAGCGGUGAAAUGCGGAGAUAUUAAAAAGAAUACCGGUGGCGAAGGCGACUUACUGGGCUCAUUAUGACGCUGGGGAACGAAAGCGUGGGUAGCAAACAGG
RNAcentral lists this ribosomal RNA (403 nucleotides) under Fusobacteriota bacterium. Its description in RNAcentral is "Fusobacteria bacterium partial 16S ribosomal RNA". It matches the Rfam family "Bacterial small subunit ribosomal RNA", at positions 355 to 776 of the family's 1533-position model. The record is from RNAcentral. Lineage: Bacteria; Fusobacteriati; Fusobacteriota.